AGCAGCCGCGGUAAUUCCAGCUCCAAUAGCGUAUAUUAAAGUUGUUGCAGUUAAAAAGCUCGUAGUUGAAUUUCGGGACUAAUAUGUCGGUCGUACUUUGUACGUACUAGCAUUAUUGGUUUCUCCCUUCUGACGAACCACGAUGUCAUUAAUUUGGUGUCGCGGGAAAUCAGGACUGUUACUUUGAAAAAAUUAGAGUGUUUAAAGCAAGCUCGCGCUUGAAUACAUUAGCAUGGAAUAAUGAAAUAGGACGUUUGAUUCUAUUUUGUUGGUUUCUAGGAUCGACGUAAUGAUUAAUAGGGAUAGUUGGGGGCAUUAGUAUUCAAUUGUCAGAGGUGAAAUUCUUGGAUUUAUUGAAGACUAACUACUGCGAAAGCAUUUGCCAAGGAUGUUUUCAUUAAUCAAGAAC
This 409-nucleotide ribosomal RNA is filed under the name uncultured Glomeromycotina. RNAcentral describes it as "SSU rRNA". It matches the Rfam family "Eukaryotic small subunit ribosomal RNA", at positions 569 to 984 of the family's 1831-position model. Lineage: Eukaryota; Fungi; Glomeromycota. The record is from RNAcentral.